GACGAACGCUGGCGGCGUGCUUAACACAUGCAAGUCGAACGAAAAGAGGGAAAGAGCUUGCUCUUUCCGGAAUUGAGUGGCAAACGGGUGAGUAACACGUAAACAACCUGCCUUCAGGAUGGGGACAACAGACGGAAACGACUGCUAAUACCGAAUAAGUUCCAAGGGCCGCAUGGCCCAUCGAAGAAAAGGUGGCCUCUACCUGUCAGCUAUCGCCUGAAGAGGGGUUUGCGUCUGAUUAGCCGGUUGGCGGGGUAACGGCCCACCAAGGGGACGAUCAGUAGACGGUCUGAGAGGAUGAACGGCCAAACUGGAACUGAGACACGGGCCAGACUCCUACGGGAGGCAGCAGUGGGGAAUCUUCCGCAAUGGGCGAAAGCCUGACGGAGCAAAGCCGCGUGAGGGAUGACGGCCUUCGGGUUGUAAAACUCUGUGAUCCGGGACGAAAAGGCAGAGUGCGAAGAACAAACUGCAUUGACGGUACCGGAAAAGCAAGCCACGGCUAACUACGUG
Molecule: ribosomal RNA, 513 nt
Filed under: uncultured bacterium
Lineage: Bacteria
Description: partial 16S ribosomal RNA
Rfam family: Bacterial small subunit ribosomal RNA
Source: RNAcentral